AGGUGCUGCAUGGCUGUCGUCAGCUCGUGCCGUGAGGUGUUGGGUUAAGUCCCGCAACUAGCGCAACCCUCAUCCUUAGUUGCCAGCAUUAAGGUGGGCACUCUAAGGAAACUGCCGCAGUUAAUGCGGAGGAAGGUGGGGAUGACGUCAAGUCCUCAUGGCCCUUAUGUCCAGGGCUACACACGUGCUACAAUGGGUGGAACAAAGGGUUGUGAACCCGUAAGGGGGAACUAAUCCCAGAAAAGCACUCUCAGUUCGGAUCGCAGUCUGCAACUCGACUGCGUGAAGUCGGAAUCGCUAGUAAUCGUGGAUCAGAAUGUCACGGUGAAUACGUUCCCGGGUCUU
RNAcentral lists this ribosomal RNA (345 nucleotides) under uncultured Syntrophorhabdus sp. RNAcentral's name for it is "bacterial SSU rRNA". It matches the Rfam family "Bacterial small subunit ribosomal RNA", at positions 1036 to 1382 of the family's 1533-position model. The record is from RNAcentral. Lineage: Bacteria; Pseudomonadati; Thermodesulfobacteriota; Syntrophorhabdia; Syntrophorhabdales; Syntrophorhabdaceae.